This 73-nucleotide transfer RNA is filed under the name Candidatus Bathyarchaeota archaeon. Its description in RNAcentral is "tRNA-Gln". It matches the Rfam family "tRNA". Rfam says of the family: Transfer RNA (tRNA) molecules are approximately 80 nucleotides in length. Their secondary structure includes four short double-helical elements and three loops (D, anti-codon, and T loops). Further hydrogen bonds mediate the characteristic L-shaped molecular structure. tRNAs have two regions of fundamental functional importance: the anti-codon, which is responsible for specific mRNA codon recognition, and the 3' end, to which the tRNAs corresponding amino acid is attached (by aminoacyl-tRNA synthetases). tRNAs cope with the degeneracy of the genetic code in two manners: having more than one tRNA (with a specific anti-codon) for a particular amino acid; and 'wobble' base-pairing, i.e. permitting non-standard base-pairing at the 3rd anti-codon position. The record is from RNAcentral. RNAcentral also lists the same sequence under 2 other names. Lineage: Archaea; Thermoproteati; Candidatus Bathyarchaeota.
AGGCCCGUGGUGUAGUGGUCAAGCAUGGGGGCCUUUGGAGCCCCUGACGCCGGUUCGAAUCCGGCCGGGCCUA